UACGGAGGAUGCGAGCGUUAUCCGGAUUUAUUGGGUUUAAAGGGUGCGUAGGCGGGAUGCCAAGUCAGCGGUAAAAAUGCGGUGCUCAACGCCGUCGAGCCGUUGAAACUGGCGUUCUUGAGUGGGCGAGAAGUAUGCGGAAUGCGUGGUGUAGCGGUGAAAUGCAUAGAUAUCACGCAGAACACCGAUUGCGAAGGCAGCAUACCGGCGCCCUACUGACGCUGAGGCACGAAAGCGUGGGUAUCGAACAGG
RNAcentral lists this ribosomal RNA (252 nucleotides) under uncultured bacterium. RNAcentral's name for it is "partial 16S ribosomal RNA". It matches the Rfam family "Bacterial small subunit ribosomal RNA", at positions 524 to 776 of the family's 1533-position model. The record is from RNAcentral.